Molecule: non-coding RNA, 30 nt
Filed under: Rattus norvegicus (Norway rat)
Lineage: Eukaryota; Metazoa; Chordata; Mammalia; Rodentia; Muridae
Source: RNAcentral
UGAAAUGUUUAGUGUGUCUUUUGUGAAUAC